GGGCCCGCACAAGCGGUGGAGCAUGUGGUUUAAUUCGAAGCAACGCGAAGAACCUUACCAGGUCUUGACAUCCUUUGACCACUCUAGAGAUAGAGCUUCCCCUUCGGGGGGCAAAGUGACAGGUGGUGCAUGGUUGUCGUCAGCUCGUGUCGUGAGAUGUUGGGUUAAGUCCCGCAACGAGCGCAACCCUUAUUGUUAGUUGCCAUCAUUCAGUUGGGCACUCUAGCAAGACUGCCGGUGACAAACCGGAGGAAGGUGGGGAUGACGUCAAAUCAUCAUGCCCCUUAUGACCUGGGCUACACACGUGCUACAAUGGGAAGUACAACGAGUUGCGAAGUCGCGAGGCUAAGCUAAUCUCUUAAAGCUUCUCUCAGUUCGGAUUGCAGGCUGCAACUCGCCUGCAUGAAGCCGGAAUCGCUAGUAAUCGCGGAUCAGCACGCCGCGGUGAAUACGUUCCCGGGCCUUGUACACACCGCCCGUCACACCACGAGAGUUUGUAACACCCGAAGUCGGUGAGGUAACCUUUUUGGAGCCAGCCGCCUAAGGUGGGAUAGAUGAUUGGGGUGAAGUCGUAACAAGGUAGCCGUAUCGGAAGGUGCGGCUG
Molecule: ribosomal RNA, 604 nt
Filed under: Enterococcus faecium
Lineage: Bacteria; Bacillati; Bacillota; Bacilli; Lactobacillales; Enterococcaceae
Description: bacterial SSU rRNA
Rfam family: Bacterial small subunit ribosomal RNA
Source: RNAcentral